Molecule: ribosomal RNA, 1265 nt
Filed under: Nocardiopsis sp.
Lineage: Bacteria; Bacillati; Actinomycetota; Actinomycetes; Streptosporangiales; Nocardiopsidaceae
Description: bacterial SSU rRNA
Rfam family: Bacterial small subunit ribosomal RNA
Source: RNAcentral
GAGCGGCGACGGGUGAGUAACACGUGAGCAACCUGCCCCUGACUCCGGGAUAAGCGGUGGAAACGCCGUCUAAUACCGGAUACGACCCGCCACCUCAUGGUGGAGGGUGGAAAGUUUUAUCGGUCAGGGAUGGGCUCGCGGCCUAUCAGCUUGUUGGUGGGGUAACGGCCUACCAAGGCGAUUACGGGUAGCCGGCCUGAGAGGGCGACCGGCCACACUGGGACUGAGACACGGCCCAGACUCCUGCGGGAGGCAGCAGUGGGGAAUAUUGCACAAUGGGCGAAAGCCUGAUGCAGCGACGCCGCGUGGGGGAUGACGGCCUUCGGGUUGUAAACCUCUUUUACCACCAACGCAGGCUCCACGUUCUCGUGGGGUUGACGGUAGGUGGGGAAUAAGGACCGGCUAACUACGUGCCAGCAGCCGCGGUAAUACGUAGGGUCCGAGCGUUGUCCGGAAUUAUUGGGCGUAAAGAGCUCGUAGGCGGCAUGUCGCGUCUGCUGUGAAAGACCGGGGCUUAACUCCGGUUCUGCAGUGGAUACGGGCAUGCUAGAGGUAGGUAGGGGAGACUGGAAUUCCUGGUGUAGCGGUGAAAUGCGCAGAUAUCAGGAGGAACACCGGUGGCGAAGGCGGGUCUCUGGGCCUUACCUGACGCUGAGGAGCGAAAGCAUGGGGAGCGAACAGGAUUAGAUACCCUGGUAGUCCAUGCCGUAAACGUUGGGCGCUAGGUGUGGGGACUUUCCACGGUUUCCGCGCCGUAGCUAACGCAUUAAGCGCCCCGCCUGGGGAGUACGGCCGCAAGGCUAAAACUCAAAGGAAUUGACGGGGGCCCGCACAAGCGGCGGAGCAUGUUGCUUAAUUCGACGCAACGCGAAGAACCUUACCAAGGUUUGACAUCACCCGUGGACCUGUAGAGAUACAGGGUCAUUUAGUUGGUGGGUGACAGGUGGUGCAUGGCUGUCGUCAGCUCGUGUCGUGAGAUGUUGGGUUAAGUCCCGCAACGAGCGCAACCCUUGUUCCAUGUUGCCAGCACGUAAUGGUGGGGACUCAUGGGAGACUGCCGGGGUCAACUCGGAGGAAGGUGGGGACGACGUCAAGUCAUCAUGCCCCUUAUGUCUUGGGCUGCAAACAUGCUACAAUGGCCGGUACAAUGGGCGUGCGAUACCGUAAGGUGGAGCGAAUCCCUUAAAGCCGGUCUCAGUUCGGAUUGGGGUCUGCAACUCGACCCCAUGAAGGUGGAGUCGCUAGUAAUCGCGGAUCAGCACCGC